GACGAACGCUGGCGGCGUGCUUAGCACAUACAAGUCGAACGGAAAGGCCCUGCUUUUGUGGGGUGCUCGAGUGGCGAACGGGUGAGUAACACGUGAGUAACCUGCCCUUGACUUUGGGAUAACUUCAGGAAACUGGGGCUAAUACCGGAUAGGAGCUCCUGCUGCAUGGUGGGGGUUGGAAAGUUUCGGCGGUUGGGGAUGGACUCGCGGCUUAUCAGCUUGUUGGUGGGGUAGUGGCUUACCAAGGCUUUGACGGGUAGCCGGCCUGAGAGGGUGACCGGCCACAUUGGGACUGAGAUACGGCCCAGACUCCUACGGGAGGCAGCAGUGGGGAAUAUUGCACAAUGGGCGGAAGCCUGAUGCAGCAACGCCGCGUGCGGGAUGACGGCCUUCGGGUUGUAAACCGCUUUCGCCUGUGACGAAGCGUGAGUGACGGUAAUGGGUAAAGAAGCACCGGCUAACUACGUG
This 468-nucleotide ribosomal RNA is filed under the name uncultured bacterium. RNAcentral's name for it is "partial 16S ribosomal RNA". It matches the Rfam family "Bacterial small subunit ribosomal RNA", at positions 28 to 507 of the family's 1533-position model. The record is from RNAcentral.